UACAGGGGGGGCAAGCGUUGUUCGGAAUUACUGGGCGUAAAGGGCUCGUAGGCGGCCAACUAAGUCACACGUGAAAUCCCCAGGCUUAACCUGGGAACUGCGUGUGAUACUGGAUGGCUUGAAUCCGGGAGAGGGAUGCGGAAUUCCAGGUGUAGCGGUGAAAUGCGUAGAUAUCUGGAGGAAUACCGGUGGCGAAGGCGGCAUCCUGGACCGACAUUGACGCUGAGGAGCGAAAGCGUGGGGAGCAAACAGG
RNAcentral lists this ribosomal RNA (253 nucleotides) under uncultured bacterium. RNAcentral's name for it is "partial 16S ribosomal RNA". It matches the Rfam family "Bacterial small subunit ribosomal RNA", at positions 524 to 776 of the family's 1533-position model. The record is from RNAcentral.